GACAGAGGUGCCAAGCGUUAGGCGGAAUCACUGGGCUUAAAGCGUGUGUAGGCGGAUCGUUAAGUACCUUGUGAAAUCCCACGGCUCAACCGUGGAACUGCUGGGUAUACUGGCGAUCUUGAGCCACCUAGGGGCGAGCGGAACAAGCGGUGGAGCGGUGAAAUGCGUAGAUAUCGCUUGGAACGCCGACGGUGAAAACAGGUUGCUGGGGAUGUGCCGACGCUGAGGCACGAAAGCCAGGGGAGCAAACGGG
Molecule: ribosomal RNA, 253 nt
Filed under: uncultured bacterium
Lineage: Bacteria
Description: partial 16S ribosomal RNA
Rfam family: Bacterial small subunit ribosomal RNA
Source: RNAcentral